This 62-nucleotide transfer RNA is filed under the name Loxodonta africana (African savanna elephant). It matches the Rfam family "tRNA", at positions 5 to 66 of the family's 71-position model. From Rfam's summary of the family: Transfer RNA (tRNA) molecules are approximately 80 nucleotides in length. Their secondary structure includes four short double-helical elements and three loops (D, anti-codon, and T loops). The record is from Rfam by way of RNAcentral. Lineage: Eukaryota; Metazoa; Chordata; Mammalia; Proboscidea; Elephantidae.
UGGUGGUUCAGUGGUAGAAUUCUUGCCUUUCAUGUGGGGGACCUGGGUUCUAUUCCCAGCUA